This is a non-coding RNA of Pelobates cultripes (western spadefoot toad), 233 nucleotides long. The record is from the annotation of a GenBank genome assembly. NCBI's taxonomy places the organism in Eukaryota, Metazoa, Chordata, Amphibia, Anura, Pelobatidae.
AGUGUAAUCCUCUUCAGGACCUCCACUGGUUGUUGGUUUGGUUACCCUCACGACUCCGCUUACGAGGAUAAAGGCUUCGUUUCGUCUUCUCCCGACCUCGUUUACCAGGAGUCUCAUCAAGUUCUGCUCACCAGAGACCGUUGUUGAUUGUUUCGUUGGUUUCUAUCGUUUCGAGCUCAGUCUGGACUUGGAUGUCGCUUCAAGAAAGAGGAAGUGUACAGGCAGCAUGACCC